This 74-nucleotide transfer RNA is filed under the name Bacillota bacterium. RNAcentral describes it as "Firmicutes bacterium (anaerobic digester metagenome) tRNA-Ile". It matches the Rfam family "tRNA". Rfam says of the family: Transfer RNA (tRNA) molecules are approximately 80 nucleotides in length. Their secondary structure includes four short double-helical elements and three loops (D, anti-codon, and T loops). Further hydrogen bonds mediate the characteristic L-shaped molecular structure. tRNAs have two regions of fundamental functional importance: the anti-codon, which is responsible for specific mRNA codon recognition, and the 3' end, to which the tRNAs corresponding amino acid is attached (by aminoacyl-tRNA synthetases). tRNAs cope with the degeneracy of the genetic code in two manners: having more than one tRNA (with a specific anti-codon) for a particular amino acid; and 'wobble' base-pairing, i.e. permitting non-standard base-pairing at the 3rd anti-codon position. Lineage: Bacteria; Bacillati; Bacillota. The record is from RNAcentral.
GGACCCCUAGCUCAGUCGGUCAGAGCAGCGGACUCAUAAUCCGUUGGUCCUGGGUUCAAGUCCCAGGGGGUCCA